GCUUUCGUGGCGUAGCGGUUAGCACGCUCGACGUGUAUUCGAGAGGUCCGUGGUUCGAGUCCCGGAGAGGGCA
This is a non-coding RNA of Stegodyphus mimosarum, 73 nucleotides long. NCBI's taxonomy places the organism in Eukaryota, Metazoa, Arthropoda, Arachnida, Araneae, Eresidae. The record is from Rfam.